UACGUAGGGACCAAGCGUUGUCCGGAAUCAUUGAACGUAAAGAGCGUGUAGGCGGCCUUUUAAGUCCUGCGUGAAAUCCUGCGGCUCAACCGCAGACAGUCGUGGGAAACUGGAAAACUAGAGUGCGGAAGAGGAGAGUGGAAUUCCCGGUGUAGCGGUGAAAUGCGCAGAUAUCGGGAAGAACACCCGUGGCGAAGGCGGCUCUCUGGAACGCAACUGACGCUGAGACGCGAAAGCGUGGGGAGCAAACAGG
RNAcentral lists this ribosomal RNA (253 nucleotides) under uncultured bacterium. RNAcentral's name for it is "partial 16S ribosomal RNA". It matches the Rfam family "Bacterial small subunit ribosomal RNA", at positions 524 to 776 of the family's 1533-position model. The record is from RNAcentral.